ACGAACGCUGGCGGCGUGCCUAAUACAUGCAAGUCGAACGCACUCUCGUUUAGAUUGAAGGAGUUUGCUCCUGAUUGAUAAACAUUUGAGUGAGUGGCGGACGGGUGAGUAACACGUGGGUAACCUGCCCUAAAGUGGGGGAUAACAUUUGGAAACAGAUGCUAAUACCGCAUAAAACCUAACACCGCAUGGUGUAGGGUUGAAAGAUGGUUUCGGCUAUCACUUUAGGAUGGACCCGCGGUGCAUUAGUUAGUUGGUGAGGUAAAGGCUCACCAAGACCGUGAUGCAUAGCCGACCUGAGAGGGUAAUCGGCCACACUGGGACUGAGACACGGCCCAGACUCCUACGGGAGGCAGCAGUAGGGAAUCUUCCACAAUGGACGAAAGUCUGAUCGAGCAACGCCGCGUGAGUGAAGAAGGUUUUCGGAUCGUAAAACUCUGUUGUUGGAGAAGAAUGUAUCUGAUAGUAACUGAUCAGGUAGUGACGGUAUCCAACCAGAAAGCCACGGCUAACUACGUG
This 519-nucleotide ribosomal RNA is filed under the name uncultured bacterium. RNAcentral's name for it is "partial 16S ribosomal RNA". It matches the Rfam family "Bacterial small subunit ribosomal RNA", at positions 29 to 507 of the family's 1533-position model. The record is from RNAcentral.